AACAUUAAUGAGAGGAAAGAAUACCCCUUGGAUUUUUUUUUAAAAGUUAAAAACAGAAGAGUCCUCGGGGGACAAGCCACAAUCAACGUGUAUUGUCAAACGUGGAGGCUUUCGUUUUUCAAGGAGGUAAGAUUAAUUUAAUUAAGAACAUAAAAGCAGAAAGAAAAAGAAGAAAGCCUGAAGCAAAGGGGGUUACUGUACGCAAGGAUUAAACUUAAAAACGACACGCUUCCUUUCUCUACCCACCAAUUCUUUUCUUAUUUCAGCAAGUUUCUUUCUCUGGUCGACGUAUCUUAACCGUCUGUUUUUUGUUUGUUGUUCAAUUGAGGAUAUGUAGAUUGUUCCGUUUGAUCCUCUGUCCUUGGAUCAUGUAUGGGUGUUUUUGACAUGUACUUAUUUCAUUCAUAAUAAAGUACUUUCCAUUAUUAGUGCUUUAUUUUUCAAUCCAAACCUCGGUUUUUUACCUGGAUCAAUUUGAAUCUAGGUACCUGCAUUCUUCAUAAUCUGAAAGAAGUACCAAAAUCUAGUGUUUCAGAUUGCUAAAGUUAAAUUUUUGUAUGGAAUUCGUUUAUUGAGUGGAAAGAGCUAUGGGGAGUUUGGAUGCAAAUGAAGAUGGUUUGUUAGAUCUUUGAAUUGGUGUGUGGAUUCUGGAAAGCUUUGCAUCCUAGACAUUGAGGGUUGAAGAAUAAAGCUAUGCACUAUCUAGAGAGAGUUAAGCUGCUACUACCAGCCGAGGAGGCUGCUGAUAGACUUGCAGUUAUUAUUAAGAAUUGAAGCUGCAAAGCGGGGGAAAGAGAAAGAAAGCCUUACCUGGAGCUGCUACUUAAAGACGAAGACGAUGGUGAUGGAGGGCUGGCUAACCAAUGUUACUUUCUUAAAAGAUGCUGGAUACAGACGUGACAUCUUCCCUUCAUACUCAACUCAACUGGAGUAUUUAUUUUUAUAUAAUCCUCCAUCUUGAACUUCUUGAAAAUCUCCAUUCCUAACUUAUCUUGGCUUAUAAAAAAUUUAUCCUCUUCUUGUUUCAUCUUAAUCCCCAAGUAGUAUUUGUUAUGGAAAAGAAAGGAGACAUUCCUUACCCAAUUCAUGUCAUUGUUAACUAUUGUAUAACAAAAUUAUUAAAUAUUGUAUA
Long non-coding RNA from Populus trichocarpa (black cottonwood), 1132 nucleotides. RefSeq lists it as uncharacterized. Lineage: Eukaryota; Viridiplantae; Streptophyta; Magnoliopsida; Malpighiales; Salicaceae. The transcript has 4 exons. The record is from RefSeq and is a predicted model, not a curated record.